CCUACGGGAGGCAGCAGUGGGGAAUAUUGCACAAUGGGGGAAACCCUGAUGCAGCAACGCCGCGUGAAGGAAGACGGUUUUCGGAUUGUAAACUUCUGUUCUUAGUGAAGAAUAAUGACGGUAGCUCAGGAGCAAGCCACGGCUCACUACGUGCCAGCAGCCGCGGUAAUACGUAGGUGGCAAGCGUUGUCCGGAAUUACUGGGUGUAAAGGGAGCGCAGGCGGGAAGCCAAGUCAGCCGUGAAAACUACGGGCUUAACUUGUAGACUGCAGUUGAAACUGGUUUUCUGGAGUGAAGUAGAGGUUGGCGGAAUGCCGAGUGUAGCGGUGAAAUGCGUAGAUAUUCGGAGGAACACCGGUGGCGAAGGCGGCCAACUGGGCUGUAACUGACGCUGAGGCUCGAAAGUGUGGGGAGCAAACAGGAUUAGAUACCCGGGUAGUC
RNAcentral lists this ribosomal RNA (441 nucleotides) under uncultured bacterium. Its description in RNAcentral is "partial 16S ribosomal RNA". It matches the Rfam family "Bacterial small subunit ribosomal RNA", at positions 338 to 795 of the family's 1533-position model. The record is from RNAcentral.